Molecule: ribosomal RNA, 253 nt
Filed under: uncultured bacterium
Lineage: Bacteria
Description: partial 16S ribosomal RNA
Rfam family: Bacterial small subunit ribosomal RNA
Source: RNAcentral
UACGUAGGGUCCGAGCGUUGUCCGGAAUUAUUGGGCGUAAAGAGCUCGUAGGCGGUCUGUCACGUCGGCUGUGAAAACCCGAGGCUCAACCUCGGGCCUGCAGUCGAUACGGGCAAACUAGAGUACUGCAGGGGAGACUGGAAUUCCUGGUGUAGCGGUGAAAUGCGCAGAUAUCAGGAGGAACACCGGUGGCGAAGGCGGGUCUCUGGGCAGUAACUGACGCUGAGGAGCGAAAGCGUGGGGAGCGAACAGG